This 1378-nucleotide ribosomal RNA is filed under the name Limnonectes woodworthi (Woodworth's wart frog). RNAcentral's name for it is "partial 16S ribosomal RNA". It matches the Rfam family "Bacterial large subunit ribosomal RNA", at positions 177 to 2579 of the family's 2925-position model. The record is from RNAcentral. Lineage: Eukaryota; Metazoa; Chordata; Amphibia; Anura; Dicroglossidae.
CCUAAAACUUAGCUAAUUUAACCCCCCUGCCACCACAACCAAAUUACUUAAGUUAAAACAUUUUUAUCAUUUAGUAGAGGCGAUCGAAAAACUUAUUAGAGCUAUAUAGCUAGUACCGCAAGGGAAAAAUGAAAUAGAUCUGAAAUAGCCCUAAAGCAAAAUACAGCAGAGAUUACCCCUCCUACCUUUUGCAUCAUGGUUUAGCUAGUCCUUAACAAGCAAAACGAAACAUCAGUUUGUUCCCCCGAAACUAGACGAGCUACUUUAAAACAGUUUAAUGGAACCAACCCGUCUCUGUUGCAAAAGAGUGGGAUGAUUUUAAAGUAGAGGUGAAAAGCCUACCGAGCCUAGAGAUAGCUGGUUACUUAAGAAAGGAAUUUUAGUUCAAUCUCAAGCCUCUUUAUUAAAAACAAUAAACAACCAAGACUUGAGAGUUAAUUAAAUAAGGCACAGCUUAUUUAAUAAAGGAUACAGCCUAUAAAAAAGGGUAAAAUUAUAACACAGAUUAAGUGGGCCUAAAAGCAGCCAAAAAAGCGUUAAAGCUUCAUCUUUUUAACCUAACUAAUACCUUACAAACCUUUAAACCCUUUACUGCUAUUAAGUAAUUCUAUAACAAUAUAGAAGUUUUUAUGCUAAAACUAGUAACAAGAAAUUGAUUUUUCUCCAAAAUUUAUGUAUAAACCAAAAUGGACCCGCCAUUGGUGAUUAACGUCAAUAAAACCAUUAUAGUAACACACCCAGAAAACACUAUUAUUUUUCACGUUAACCUUACACAAGUAAACUUCUGGAAAGAUUAAAAGAAAAAGAAGGAACUCGGCAAAUUUUAACCCCGCCUGUUUACCAAAAACAUCGCCUCUUGAUAAAAUAUAAGAGGUCCAGCCUGCCCAGUGAUAUUCUUAAACGGCCGCGGUACCCUGACCGUGCAAAGGUAGCAUAAUCAUUUGUUCUUUAAAUAAGGACUCGUAUCAACGGCAUUACGAGGGUUAUACUGUCUCCUUUUUCCAAUCAGUGAAACUGACCUCCCCGUGAAGAGGCGGGGAUAUAAAUACAAGACGAGAAGACCCCAUGGAGCUUUAAACCCAAUAACAACUCUUUUUACAUAAAAAAAACAUAAGUGUGCUGUUUAUUGGUUUUAGGUUGGGGUGACCACGGAGUAAAAAUUAACCUCCCUGACGAAUAGAUUAUAUCUUUAUCUAAGAGCAACUACUCGAAGAAUCAAAAACUUGACGCCACAUGAUCCGGCAACCGAUCAACGAACCAAGUUACCCUGGGGAUAACAGCGCAAUCCAUUUUAAGAGCUCCUAUCGACAAAUGGGUUUACGACCUCGAUGUUGGAUCAGGGUAUCCCAGUGGUGCAGCCGCUACAAAGGUUUGUUUG